GUGCCAGCCGCCGCGGUAAUACGGAGGGUGCAAGCGUUAAUCGGAAUUACUGGGCGUAAAGCGUGCGUAGGCGGUUUAUUAAGUCAGAUGUGAAAGCCCCGGGCUUAACCUGGGAACUGCAUUUGAAACUGGUCAACUAGAGUAUGGUAGAGGAAAGUGGAAUUUCUGGUGUAGCGGUGAAAUGCGUAGAUAUCAGAAGGAACAUCAAUGGCGAAGGCAGCUUUCUGGACCAAUACUGACGCUGAGGUACGAAAGCGUGGGUAGCAAACAGGAUUAGAUACCCUGGUAGUCCACGCCGUAAACGAUGAUAACUAGCCGUUGGGGGGAUUUACCCUUUAGUGGCGAAGCUAACGCGUUAAGUUAUCCGCCUGGGGAGUACGGCCGCAAGGUUAAAACUCAAAUGAAUUGACGG
RNAcentral lists this ribosomal RNA (412 nucleotides) under uncultured bacterium. RNAcentral's name for it is "bacterial SSU rRNA". It matches the Rfam family "Bacterial small subunit ribosomal RNA", at positions 505 to 916 of the family's 1533-position model. The record is from RNAcentral.